RNAcentral lists this long non-coding RNA (1954 nucleotides) under Helianthus annuus (common sunflower). The record is from RNAcentral. Lineage: Eukaryota; Viridiplantae; Streptophyta; Magnoliopsida; Asterales; Asteraceae.
AUUCUUUCAGCCCUUUCUCUCUGUCUACAUCCUCUUCAAAUCAAACUUGGAUCCAUCACUGUCUUCUCCAAACAAUUCAACAAACAGGUAACAAUUCUUCAGAUAAUGUCGCUAACUUCAUCUUCUUCAUCAAGAAAUUUUAGGAUUCUUCUUCGUGACACCAUCAAUGUGUGAACCGAAUUGGAAAAACAUGCUCCUUCUUCGUGACACCAUCCAUUUUAUUUGGAUAUCUAAUUAGGGUUUCUUGGUCUCAUCACAAACUCAAAAAAAAUUUCGAUCCCAUCUGCUUUCUCUCUCUUUCUCCCUGGUGAUUCAAAAAGACGAAGGUGAUUCAAGUCGAUUGGUGAAGAUUUCACCAUAUCAAUGAAGAAUCUAACCUCUCAGCGGGUUGGAAAGAGCAUACAUGGAAAAAAACUUAUCUCUGGUUCAACUGGUUUACCUGCUCAUAUGAAUGGCCAAAGGGUAGGAUAGUUAUUAAAAUCAGCAAUCAAAUUGAGAAUUGUUGAUAAAAUCUUCGCCACCUUCGAAGUUGAUCUCCAAUCAUUCUCUGGCUCUUUUGAUGCAACUUUUAUUUUUUGUUUCAUGAUCUGGUGGUGGUGCUUCGAGCAUCGGUGAUGGCAGUCUGGGAUAUACUGAGCAUACCGUCCUCAAAAUUUGAUACAUCAAUUUUGGAUCUUGCAGCUUAUUUCUCAUCAAUGGUUUUGGGGGUUCUGAAUCGUUGGCCGAAGCUCAAAAUUGGGAGAAAUAUGGGGUAAAUAUGUCCAAGGAGUUGACCUCUCUGGCCUCUUUAAAUGAAGUUCAGUUAUCUUGAAGAGGAACUUGAAGACCCAUCGCAUAUUAAAUCAAGUUGUUAAUGGCAGCUUCUGCUUGGGCUUGAUGCGAAUGCGGGGAAGUGACAACUUUACAGAGUUAUCAUGAGAGUUAUCAUGUUUGAGGUAAUAAUGAGGUGUUAAACGUUCCUCCAGUAGAGAUUAGCAAAGUUGAUACUAAUGUUGAUGUUUCUGAUAGACAAAUCCCCAUUUUGAGAAAAUUGAAGAAUCUGAUAUAUGUGAUUCUUCUGAAUCAAAUCUUGAAGUGACCAGGACAGAUAAGUUGGUCAAAGAUGGAGUUGUGGAACCCACACCUGAGCUAAGUCAUGCCCCCGUGUCAGAAGUUGUUAAACAAUCUGUAGUAGUUGAAGAAAUUAAGAUUGAAAAGUUUGAAUUGGAUGGUGAAGUUGCUCCUGAAGAUGUGAAAGGAUCUAAAACUGAUUAGGGGUUUUAGUGAAUAAAAUCAAGCAUGCAAAGUCUAAAUCUGAUCUUACAUAUGUUGAGAAGUUGAUCAAGAACCUAAAAUUGAUCAGAAUGUUUCAGUUCUAAAUAAAAAGAUGAAUCUUGGUUCUAUAAAGAAGUGAUUGGAAGAAUAUGGCUACUCAAAGUGAAGUUGGAGCAAAAGGUGCUACUACUAGACCGCCUCCGAAUCCGUACAUGUUACGGAUUGUUAAGUUUUUUGAGGAUGCAACUUUAGGAUCUGUGUAAGAGUGGUUUCUUGAAGCUCUCGAACUAUACUUAAUCACUAAUUUCAAUAGCGUUGGAUUUUGAAAUGCAUUAUCAUAAUCUAAGGAAUGAUGUGCUAUGAUAUAUGUUGCUUGAAGUCAAUUGCAAGGGAAUAUGGAUGAAUAUAGUAGGAGCUCAGGGAGACAAUCAUCACGGCCGGUUUUAAAAUCCGAAUUAUCCGGUAAAUCGACGCCCAGAGGUUCUCCAUCGUUUAGAAGAUUAAGCUCGAGUCGGACUCCUAGAAGAGAUGGGAGUAGCAAUGGAUUUAAUUCUCAUUGUUUCAGAAGCAACGGGAUAUUCUGUAGCCAUAGCCUUGGAGCUCUAGACGAUUCAUAUUCAAAAAUUGAGUCGAUAGGUUUUUGAAGUACACCAUUUCCAGGGUUUAUUUGAAAUUCUUUAUAUGUUGGGCGCAUUUAUGU